RNAcentral lists this ribosomal RNA (502 nucleotides) under uncultured cyanobacterium. RNAcentral describes it as "bacterial SSU rRNA". It matches the Rfam family "Bacterial small subunit ribosomal RNA", at positions 354 to 875 of the family's 1533-position model. Lineage: Bacteria; Bacillati; Cyanobacteriota. The record is from RNAcentral.
GGGNGGGAUUUUCCNCAAUGGCGCAANCUGACGGAGCAACGCCGCGUGAGGGAUGAAGGCCUCUGGGCUGUAAACCUCUUUUAUCAAGGAAGAAGAUCUGACGGUACUUGAUGAAUAAGCCACGGCUAAUUCCGUGCCAGCAGCCGCGGUAAUACGGGAGUGGCAAGCGUUAUCCGGAAUUAUUGGGCGUAAAGCGUCCGCAGGCGGUUUUACAAGUCUGUCGUUAAAGCGUGGAGCUCAACUCCAUUUCAGCGAUGGAAACUGUAAGACUCGAGUGUGGUAGGGGCAGAGGGAAUUCCCGGUGUAGCGGUGAAAUGCGUAGAUAUCGGGAAGAACACCAGUGGCGAAAGCGCUCUGCUGGGCCAUAACUGACGCUCAUGGACGAAAGCCAGGGGAGCGAAAGGGAUUAGAUACCCCUGUAGUCCUGGCCGUAAACGAUGAACACUAGGUGUCGGGGGAAUCGACCCCCUCGGUGUCGUAGCCAACGCGUAAGGNCCGCCUG